GAUGAACGCUGGCGGCGUGCCUAAUACAUGCAAGUCGAGCGAACGGACGAGAAGCUUGCAUCUCUGAUGUUAGCGGCGGACGGGUGAGUAACACGUGGAUAACCUACCUAUAAGACUGGGAUAACUUCGGGAAACCGUAGCUAAUACCGGAUAAUAUCUUGAACCGCAUGGUUCAAAAGUGAAAGACGGUCUUGCUGUCACUUAUAGAUGGAUCCGCGCUGCAUUAGCUAGUUGGUAAGGUAACGGCUUACCAAGGCAACGAUGCAUAGCCGACCUGAGAGGGUGAUCGGCCACACUGGAACUGAGACACGCUCCAGACUCCUACGGGAGGCAGCAGUAGGGAAUCUUCCGCAAUGGGCGAAAGCCUGACGGAGCAACGCCGCGUGAGUGAUGAAGGUCUUCGGAUCGUAAAACUCUGUUAUUAGGGAGGAACAUAUGUGUAAUUAACUGUGCACAUCUUGACGGUACCUACUCAGAAAGCCACGGCUAACUACGUG
RNAcentral lists this ribosomal RNA (497 nucleotides) under uncultured bacterium. RNAcentral describes it as "partial 16S ribosomal RNA". It matches the Rfam family "Bacterial small subunit ribosomal RNA", at positions 28 to 507 of the family's 1533-position model. The record is from RNAcentral.